UGAGGAAUAUUGGUCAAUGGGCGCGAGCCUGAACCAGCCAAGUAGCGUGAAGGAUGAAGGUCCUAUGGAUUGUAAACUUCUUUUAUAGCAGAAUAAAGUGACCCACGUGUGGGUUUUUGUAUGUAUGCUAUGAAUAAGGAUCGGCUAACUCCGUGCCAGCAGCCGCGGUAAUACGGAGGAUCCGAGCGUUAUCCGGAUUUAUUGGGUUUAAAGGGUGCGUAGGCGGAAAGAUAAGUCAGCCUGUGAAAGUUUGCGGCUCAACCGUAAAAUUGCAGUUGAUACUGUUUUUCUUGAGUGUACAUAAGGUAGGCGGAAUUCGUGGUGUAGCGGUGAAAUGCUUAGAUAUCACGAAGAACUCCGAUUGCGAAGGCAGCUUACCGGGGUACAACUGACGCUGAUGCACGAAAGUGUGGGUAUCAAA
RNAcentral lists this ribosomal RNA (421 nucleotides) under uncultured bacterium. Its description in RNAcentral is "bacterial SSU rRNA". It matches the Rfam family "Bacterial small subunit ribosomal RNA", at positions 355 to 772 of the family's 1533-position model. The record is from RNAcentral.